GAUGAACGCUGGCGGCGUGCCUAAUACAUGCAAGUAGAACGCUGAAGGAAGGAGCUUGCUCUUUCCGGAUGAGUUGCGAACGGGUGAGUAACGCGUAGGUAACCUGCCUGGUAGCGGGGGAUAACUAUUGGAAACGAUAGCUAAUACCGCAUAACAGUAGAUGUUGCAUGAUAUCUACUUAAAAGGUGCAAUUGCACCACUACCAGAUGGACCUGCGUUGUAUUAGCUAGUUGGUGAGGUAACGGCUCACCAAGGCGACGGUACAUAGCCGAGCUGAGAGGGUGAUCGGCCACACUGGGACUGAGACAAGGCCCAGACUUCUACGGGAGGCAGCAGUAGGGGAUCUUCGGAAAUGGAGGGAAGUCUGACCGAGCAACGCCGGGUGAGUGAAGAAGGUUUUCGGAUCGUAAAGCUCUGUUGUAAGAGAAGAACGAGUGUGAGAGUGGAAAGUUCACACUGUGACGGUAUCUGACCAGAAAGGGACGGCUAACUACGUG
Molecule: ribosomal RNA, 497 nt
Filed under: uncultured bacterium
Lineage: Bacteria
Description: partial 16S ribosomal RNA
Rfam family: Bacterial small subunit ribosomal RNA
Source: RNAcentral